GUCAUUGAUUUCAAGAGCAUCUACUGUGGAUGGCUUUAAGGUUUUCUUACACUUACUGUCCCUUGCCGUUCUUACACCAACCACAGAUCUGAAGCCGCCUUUGUAGCAACUCUUGACUGACUUCUAANAACUCUGACUUCUAGGUAAUCUGCCAGCUUUGAAGCUGACCUUGGCUUCAUUGCAGCUGAACAGCCAGCAUUGCAUAAUCAGUGCAACGGAACUGAAUUUUAACGUGGCUUGCUCACAGAAGAAAAUGGAUGUGAA
Molecule: long non-coding RNA, 264 nt
Filed under: Gopherus agassizii (Agassiz's desert tortoise)
Lineage: Eukaryota; Metazoa; Chordata; Testudines; Testudinidae
Description: lncRNA (ENSGAGG00000022845.1)
Source: RNAcentral